GUUCAGACGAUUUCUUGUCAAUUUUCAUAGAAAGACCUUUGUUACCAUCCUGAAUUUCCCGGAGGAGAGUAGCCAGUAUGUCGGCAGGUUCGCAAGAGUCUGGAACUGUCGUCUGAGUUAUGAGGGCUAAUGCUAAUCUUGCUAGCUGUAGCGUUAUCAUUAUCUUGGGAAUCAACAACGUUUUGGUCGUCCUUCUUGCCUCUCGGUCGGAGGUCCAUGGCUCUUUGGGAAGCUCCUCAUGGCUAACAACAACAACAUGCCGCUGGGUUGGUUUCAGCUGAAUGCUUCCACCAGUACGAUAAGGACCUGAGCCCUAGGACCAUGCCUCAGGACUACCUGGUAUGAUGACUCCUUGCUGUCCCCAGUCCACCUGGCCGUGCUGCUGCUCCAGUUUCAACUGUUCUGCCUGCGGCUAUGGAACCCUGACCUGUUCACCGGACGUGCUUGUUGCACCCUCGACAACUACUAUGAUUAUUAUUAUUUGACCAUGCUGGUCAUUUAUGAACAUUUUAACAUUUUAACAUUUUGACCAUGUUCUGUUAUAAUAUCCACCCUGCACAGCCAGAAGAGGACUGGCCACCCCUCAUAGCCUGGUUCCUCUCUAGGUUUCUUCCUAGGUUUUUGGCCUUUCUAGGGAGUUUUUCCUAGGGAGUUUUUCCUAGCCACCGUGCUUCUUUCACAUGCUUUGCUUGCUGUUUGGGGUUUUAGGCUGGGUUUCUGUACAGCACUUUGAGAAUAUCAGCUGAUGUAC
Molecule: long non-coding RNA, 751 nt
Filed under: Salmo salar (Atlantic salmon)
Lineage: Eukaryota; Metazoa; Chordata; Actinopteri; Salmoniformes; Salmonidae
Description: lncRNA (ENSSSAG00000119545.1)
Source: RNAcentral